Molecule: long non-coding RNA, 665 nt
Organism: Drosophila innubila
Lineage: Eukaryota; Metazoa; Arthropoda; Insecta; Diptera; Drosophilidae
Exons: 2
Source: RefSeq, a predicted model, not a curated record
GGAUUUCUAUAAACAAAUUGUAAUAUACAAACUCAAAUUGUAUAAUAAACAGACUUACAAAAUUCGAAAGCUGUACUCAAUUCUCUAACGGGUUGAAGUUUUCGAAUCGAAGAUGUGCAGUUCCGGCUCUUGUUGUCAGACUUGUCAGCCUUGCUGCUUACCAUGCUGUCAACCCUGCUAUCAACCCUGCUGCCAACCCUGCUGCCAACCCUGCUGUCAAUCAUGCUGCAGCCCUUGCUGUCAGCCAUGCUGUACUCCAUGUUGUCAACCUUGCUGUAGCCCAUGCUGUCAACCUUGCUGUAGCAGUUGCAGUUCAUGUUGCAGUGGUUGCUGUGGUAAAUGUGGACCGUGCUGCUCACCUGCAUGCUGCGGUGGCUGCUGCGGUAGCUGCUGCGGUCCAUGUUGUGGCAGUUGUUGUGGAAAAUGUGGACCAUGCUGUGGACCAUGCUGUGGACCCUGCUGCAGUCCCUGCUGCGGGGCCUCCUGUUGUGGUCCUUGUUGUGGACCUUGUUGCAGUCAAUGCUGUGGAUCUAAAUGCUGCUAACCCACCGAUCGUCAUCCGCUUAAGCUACUACUAACAUAGAUUCGGUAUAACCCGUUAGAGAAUUGAUAUAUAACAUCCACACUUCGAACAAUAAAAAAUGUUUUUUAUUAUAAGUAACUAA